GACGUAGGGCGCAAGCGUUGUCCGGAUUUAUUGGGCGUAAAGAGCUCGUAGGCGGCUCGUCGCGUCGACCGUGAAAACCCGCGGCUUAACUGCGGGCUUGCGGUUGAUACGGGCGGGCUAGAGUUCGGUAGGGGAGACUGGAAUUCCUGGUGUAGCGGUGAAAUGCGCAGAUAUCAGGAGGAACACCGGUGGCGAAGGCGGGUCUCUGGGCCGAUACUGACGCUGAGGAGCGAAAGCGUGGGGAGCGAACAGG
This 253-nucleotide ribosomal RNA is filed under the name uncultured bacterium. RNAcentral describes it as "partial 16S ribosomal RNA". It matches the Rfam family "Bacterial small subunit ribosomal RNA", at positions 524 to 776 of the family's 1533-position model. The record is from RNAcentral.